CAGUUUUGUAGCCUCAAGUAAACUAAUAACCAAUGAUCAAACAGAGCUCCACAGAGCUGUGACACAACUUUAUUGGUCCCAUUUGUGCACAUCACCAGAGGAUAUGGCAGCCCUGGGGGCAAUGCAAGAGCCACUCUCUGCUUCAGCUCACAUCAGCUUUCCAUCACCCGGAUCCCAUUCAGGGCCUCCACAUCAUGAGAUGCUACUGCACCUCCAGGACCCCCAAUACGGUACUCACCCUACCCCAGUCCACUCCCAGAGCUCUGUGUCCCUCUUCUUCAGCCAGAGCCUUCAAUAGAGAUUCCUUCGUAGUCCUUGAGCACAUUUUGAUUAAAAAAAAAAAAAAAAAACUUGUAGAGGCAAAUUGGAUUUUUCUUUUCACUGUAAAUAUGUCUGCUUUCCAUUAGAUAGUUUACCAUCUUUGCUGACAAUUAUUUUUUAUUACGGGAACUGAAAUAAGGAUAUUUGUGAAUUAGAGUUGUCCCAAAUUUAAAUAAAUUUAUUUUAAAAUAUUUAUAGAUGAGAGUGAUACUUUGGAUAAUCUGUGAUUUCAUUAGUGUGUUUGUGUAAAUCUGCCAGUGCAGAUCAUUGUCCCUUCACUUGUGUUCAUACUAGACAUUGUCUGUCUAGUCCUUCAUAGACAAUAACUCACAUGCCUAUAGCCUUUUAUGACGUAUCAGAUCAUACACUUAGAGG
This 696-nucleotide long non-coding RNA is filed under the name Sarcophilus harrisii (Tasmanian devil). Its description in RNAcentral is "lncRNA (ENSSHAG00000031721.1)". The record is from RNAcentral. Lineage: Eukaryota; Metazoa; Chordata; Mammalia; Dasyuromorphia; Dasyuridae.